CAAAGAUUAAGCCAUGCAUGUCUCAGUGCAAGCCGAAUUAAGGUGAAACCGCGAAAGGCUCAUUAAAUCAGCUAUGGUUCCUUAGAUGGUACUUACGGUUACUUGGAUAACUGUGGCAAUUCUAGAGCUAAUACAUGCAAAUUGAGUUCCGACCGCUCAAAAGGCGGAAGGGAUGCUUUUAUUAGAUCAAAACCAAUCGGGCUCUCCAAGAAGAGUCCGUCACGGCUUGGUGACUCUGAAUAACUUUGAGCUGAUCGCACGGUCUCGCACCGGCGACGCAUCUUUCAAAUGUCUGACUUAUCAACUUUCGAUGGUAGGCUCUGCGCCUACCAUGGUCGUAACGGGUAACGGGGAAUCAGGGUUCGAUUCCGGAGAGGGAGCCUGAGAAACGGCUACCACAUCCAAGGAAGGCAGCAGGCGCGCAAAUUACCCACUCCCGGCACGGGGAGGUAGUGACGAAAAAUAACGAUGCAGAACUCUAUCCGAGGCUCUGCAAUCGGAAUGAGCACACUCUAAAUCAUUUAACGAGUAUCCAUUGGAGGGCAAGUCUGG
Molecule: ribosomal RNA, 552 nt
Filed under: Degeeriella sp. 265
Lineage: Eukaryota; Metazoa; Arthropoda; Insecta; Psocodea; Philopteridae
Description: bacterial SSU rRNA
Rfam family: Eukaryotic small subunit ribosomal RNA
Source: RNAcentral